GAUGAACGCUGGCGGCGUGCCUAAUACAUGCAAGUCGAGCGAACAGACGAGGAGCUUGCUCCUUUGACGUUAGCGGCGGACGGGUGAGUAACACGUGGAUAACCUACCUAUAAGACUGGGAUAACUUCGGGAAACCGGAGCUAAUACCGGAUAACAUGUUGAACCGCAUGGUUCAACAGUGAAAGACGGUCUUGCUGUCACUUAUAGAUGGAUCCGCGCCGCAUUAGCUAGUUGGUAAGGCAACGGCUUACCAAGGCAACGAUGCGUAGCCGACCUGAGAGGGUGAUCGGCCACACUGGAACUGAGACACGGUCCAGACUCCUACGGGAGGCAGCAGUAGGGAAUCUUCCGCAAUGGGCGAAAGCCUGACGGAGCAACGCCGCGUGAGUGAAGAAGGUCUCCGGAUCGUAAAACUCUGUUAUUAGGGAAGAACAAAUGUGUAAGUAACUAUGCACGUCUUGACGGUACCUAAUCAGAAAGCCACGGCUAACUACGUG
This 497-nucleotide ribosomal RNA is filed under the name uncultured bacterium. RNAcentral describes it as "partial 16S ribosomal RNA". It matches the Rfam family "Bacterial small subunit ribosomal RNA", at positions 28 to 507 of the family's 1533-position model. The record is from RNAcentral.